GACAGAGGUCCCGAGCGUUAGGCGGAAUCACUGGGCUUAAAGCGUGUGUAGGCGGCGGCCUAAGUACCUUGUGAAAUCCCACGGCUCACCCGUGGAACUGCUCGGUAUACUGGGUCGCUUGAGCCACUUAGGGGCUACCGGAACAAAUGGUGGAGCGGUGAAAUGCGUAGAUAUCAUUUGGAACGCCAAUGGUGAAAACAGGUAGCUGGGAGUGUGCUGACGCUGAGACACGAAAGCCAGGGGAGCAAACGGGG
Molecule: ribosomal RNA, 254 nt
Filed under: uncultured bacterium
Lineage: Bacteria
Description: partial 16S ribosomal RNA
Rfam family: Bacterial small subunit ribosomal RNA
Source: RNAcentral